UGGGCCCUUACAGCGGAGGGGGCUCCCAGGGGCAAGGGCCCCCCUUACCUGGAUGUAGGCCGUCUGCAGGUAGCUGUAGGGCAGGCGGCGCUGGAAAUCCGCGCGGACCUCCUCGCUGACGACGUGCCGGGAGUCUGCGCCCAGCUGCGCGCCUUGACGGCAGGAGCGCAGGCAGCGCGCCCGGCGGAGCAGCGCGGCGGCGAAGAGCAGGUCCCGCCGGGCGUCCCGCGCUCCCUCCUCCUCCUGCGGACGCUGCGGCUCCUGGGCGGCGGGCGGCAGCGGAGCCUCCCGGCGACAGCUCAGCCCGCAACGCAGGCGCGUUUUCCGCAGGCGGCGCUCGGCGCUCAGCGCCCGUUCCAGGCAGCGCACGGCGCCCGCGAAGUCCCCGCGCGAGUGCGCCUCCACGCCGGCCGCGUAGAGCGCGUCGAAGGGCGGCGGCGGGUCCGGGCCCGGCUCCGGGGGGCAGGCGGGCGGCGGAUCGGCGUUUCCGGGCGGCGGCAGCAGCAGCGGCAGCAGCAUCAGCAGGCGCAAGAAGCGGCUCCUGCGCCCGACGGCCAUCCCCGGCCCGCCGUCCGCGGUCGGGCGCGCCGUCGAGCAGGCCGGGCGGAGCGAGACGGGCAGGUGUCGGAGGCCGCCGGCUGGAGGUGCGGGGGGGGGGCGCAGAAGGGACCGAGAGCGACGCUCGACGGGGCGGGAGGGCGCCGAGCGUGCAGCCCUUGCUCGACGGGCAGGCGGCUUCUCCAGAUAGCUCGGCACACACAGGCUGGGACGGAGCCCGCGCCAAGAUCCGGAGCCGGGACUUCGGGGGGCAGCGGCGUCGGCACCGCUCUCCGGCUGCUGUGACGGGGCGAGUGAGUGUGGCGGCGGUGCGGCUCCUCUCCUGCGCGCACGCCGGCUGUGCCGGCACCGGCGACGCCAGGGCCGGCGCGCCUCCCACGGGCGGCCGCCCGCCUCCCCUCCCCUCCCCUCCCUCCCGGCUCCGUAGGGACAGCCUGCCCUGGCCGAGGGGGGGGGAGGAGCAGGCGGAGCCCGGCCGGGCCCGGCCCUUCGCCCAGCCGAGGGGAGGGAAGGACCGCGCGCGGCGGAGGAGCGAGGCGAGCGGACGCAG
Molecule: long non-coding RNA, 1108 nt
Filed under: Salvator merianae (Argentine black and white tegu)
Lineage: Eukaryota; Metazoa; Chordata; Lepidosauria; Squamata; Teiidae
Description: lncRNA (ENSSMRG00000001960.1)
Source: RNAcentral